CCCUUAGAUGUUCUGGGCUGCACGCGCGCUACACUGAAGCGUUCAACGAGUAUUCACCUUGCCCGGGAGGGUUGGGUAAUCUUUUGAAAACGCUUCGUGAUGGGGAUAGAUUAUUGCAAUUAUUAAUCUUCAACGAGGAAUUCCUAGUAAGCGCGAGUCAUCAGCUCGUGCUGAUUACGUCCCUGCCCUUUGUACACACCGCCCGUCGCUCCCACCGAUUGAGUGAUCCGGUGAAUAAUUCGGACUGCAGCACUGCUUGGUCUCCAGGCUUUGCAACGGAAAGUUUAGUGAACCUUAUCACUUAGAGGAAGGAGAAGUCGUAACA
This 325-nucleotide ribosomal RNA is filed under the name uncultured eukaryote. Its description in RNAcentral is "partial 18S ribosomal RNA". It matches the Rfam family "Eukaryotic small subunit ribosomal RNA", at positions 1470 to 1796 of the family's 1831-position model. The record is from RNAcentral.